Molecule: long non-coding RNA, 1121 nt
Filed under: Anas platyrhynchos platyrhynchos (common mallard)
Lineage: Eukaryota; Metazoa; Chordata; Aves; Anseriformes; Anatidae
Description: lncRNA (ENSAPLG00000029368.1)
Source: RNAcentral
UGCACCAGAGUAUCGGAGUCCUGCAAUAAAUCAGGACUGAUUUGCACUGUUUGUUGUCUCACCAACAGUCCCUUGGCCACUGAGGUGUGCAGAGGUGUGCUGUGCAGACAGAAGGCCUGGGGAGGAAGAGAAAGCAGCAAAGAGGUACAAAAAUCUUUCAGCUGCCAACAAUACAGAAGAAGUCUUCACUGUGGAAGAAGACUGACAGGGAAGGGCAACAAAACAACCUGGAAGGAGGGUUGUGAAUGCAGCGAGCAACCUGCCUUGCAACACUGCCACCAAAAUUAUUCAGUCUUCAGGGAGUGGGGAACCAUUUCUCUGCUUUGCAACAGCAGAUUGAUGCUUUCUAACAAAAACACCUCUAUACGCAGACAUACACACACACAAAGCUGUUGAUAGGAGGUGAUACAACUAAGAUUGCGAAAAUCACCUCCUAGCUUUACAUAUGUUGUGAUAACAAAUUACAUUUACAUAAUGAAGUGUACUGGCAGUCAAGCCCAUGCUAAGUGGGUGUAAGCAGGUAGCAUGUCUCAGCCAUAACUCAGAAGGCUGUCUUUGACACACGGGGGAGUUGCAUGUACCACACGUUCUGUUUGUUGUUUGUUUGUUUGUUUUGUUUAUUUUUCUGGCAUCUCUCUACUGAGAAGAGAGAAGAUUCCCUCUCCAUAUUGUUAACAGCAAGUUCCUAAUUACUGUAGAACAAGAGCUGAGCAAACCAGAAUUUGCACCUGAGCAAGAGGUGCUGUGUAUUUUUUUUUUCUUGUAUAUGCAUAAGAUCAGCACACCAGACAAACAAUCCACAGAGAACAAUACUCAUACCACAGCCCAGUUCUCUAAAUUGCCCUUUUUCUGUUGGCUUAAAGCUUCGGAUCAGGAAACACCCUCUAUUUGGACGGUAUUUGAAAUCUUACUUUAGAUUGCUUAAACCAAUUUUUGGCCUCUGUGCCCAUCUAGAUUUUUUUUUUUUUCCUGUCUUCUUUUUAUCUUUGAACUUGUUAAUCACAGAAUCACGGAAUUUCUAGGUUGGAAGAAACCUCAAGAUCAUCGAGUCCAACCUCUGACCUAACGCUAACAGUCCCCACUAAACCAUAUCCCUAAGCUCUACAUCUAAACGUCUUUUG